GAUCUAAUGGCACUAACAAUUCCUCCAGCAAGGCGUCUGACUACGAAUCAGAAGAUUGUGGGUUCGAUCCCCAUCAUGAUCA
This 82-nucleotide transfer RNA is filed under the name Fusarium falciforme. RNAcentral's name for it is "tRNA-Arg". It matches the Rfam family "tRNA", at positions 17 to 71 of the family's 71-position model. From Rfam's summary of the family: Transfer RNA (tRNA) molecules are approximately 80 nucleotides in length. Their secondary structure includes four short double-helical elements and three loops (D, anti-codon, and T loops). Lineage: Eukaryota; Fungi; Ascomycota; Sordariomycetes; Hypocreales; Nectriaceae. The record is from RNAcentral.